CUAAUCGCAUCUUUCCCUUCGGGGACAGAAGUGACAGGUGGUGCAUGGUUGUCGUCAGCUCGUGUCGUGAGAUGUUGGGUUAAGUCCCGCAACGAGCGCAACCCUUGCCUUUAUUGCCAGCAUUAAGUUGGGCACUCUAGAGGGACUGCCAGGGAUAACCUGGAGGAAGGUGGGGAUGACGUCAAAUCAUCAUGCCCCUUAUGCUUAGGGCUACACACGUGCUACAAUGGGUGGUACAGAGGGCAGCCAAGUCGUGAGGCGGAGCUAAUCCCUUAAAGCCAUUCUCAGUUCGGAUUGUAGGCUGAAACUCGCCUACAUGAAGCUGGAGUUACUAGUAAUCGCAGAUCAGAAUGCUGCGGUGAAUGCGUUCCCGGGUCUU
RNAcentral lists this ribosomal RNA (379 nucleotides) under uncultured bacterium. RNAcentral describes it as "bacterial SSU rRNA". It matches the Rfam family "Bacterial small subunit ribosomal RNA", at positions 1002 to 1382 of the family's 1533-position model. The record is from RNAcentral.